GUUUUGAUGUUAUUUUUAUUGUAGUGGACAACGUGACGUGAGAUUGAAGGCAAAUAAUAAUAAAUAAAAAAAAUAAAUGCCAUGACCACGCCAUACAUGCAGUACUCUCAACUUGUCUCUGCUCCCCACAUGGCAUGACUGAGUUGUUGAAAGGGAAAUCCUUCCAUUCUGCUUCCUGAUAUCUCUGGAAUAGUGGAAUGAGAACCAAUACAAAAGUGGAGAUAGCUAACAGUGACAACAACUAAAGCAAAAAAUAUGAAUGAGAGACAUUUAAGGUUUCGAUCAUAUCUAUGUAGAGAAGACAAGGCAUAUUCCACGAGGGAAGAAGACGAAGAAACAAAGCUAUAUAAAGGGCUGCAAGUGAACAAGGCUGCGGGGCACAUGCAGAUUGUGCCGCUGCUAUCAUCGGAGAAAAUUCAACAAAAAAAAAAACUUGAUAGUUAUGAUGAAAUUGCAACCACAAGCGAUGGCUGCUCUCCCCAUUAUGAAGUACUGCCUUUAUUCCCCAACCGGAAGUAGUAGGCUCAUCAGCCCAUUCCAAUUCUGUCUCAGAGUCUCACAGACACAGAUAAAUGGUAACGGCACAGGUUAGUAAUUUGCCCCCACUCCAAUUGCCAGUACCCAUUUAUUAUUGAACAAUGAAUAAUGAUUCAUCAACAUUCACCCACUCUAAACCAUCUCAUUAAUACACAAUAAUUAUUUUUUUCUCA
Long non-coding RNA from Glycine soja, 710 nucleotides. RefSeq lists it as uncharacterized. The record is from RefSeq and is a predicted model, not a curated record. Lineage: Eukaryota; Viridiplantae; Streptophyta; Magnoliopsida; Fabales; Fabaceae. The transcript is spliced from 2 exons.